GAGGCGCUGGAGAGGAGCAGUAAGGAAGGUUGGCAUCUGGGUGGACCCGAUGUCAGGCCUGGCCCGCGCACCCACCAGUUAUGUAACCUUGGGCAAAUGUCCUCCCUGAGCUGAGCCUUUCUUUCCUCAUGGACUAAACAGGGCUGGAGCACAGUGGCAUGAUCUCGGCUAACUGCAACCUCUGCCUGCCUCCCAGGUUCAAGCAAUUCUCCUGCCUCAGCCUCCCAAGUAGCUGGGAUUACAGGGCUCUGCCUGCCACAAUUCAUGAGCUGGCCAGAGGUCUUUGGAUUCCUCCCAGUCAUUGCUGAGAUGAGUGAGGAUUGUUUCAGAAAAUCAGGCCUCCUCCUGGGGAAUGUGCCUCAGCUUCUGUUGCCGUGGCAUGUUGUGAACUACACUUGUCCAGACAUCUAACCACCUACAAGGCAAUGAAGAGACCCUUUACUCCCACGUCAGUAGCUACCGCAGCUGCGAAGCGAAUCCUGA
This is a long non-coding RNA of Homo sapiens (human), 483 nucleotides long. Ensembl annotates it as long intergenic non-protein coding RNA 598. The record is from Ensembl. NCBI's taxonomy places the organism in Eukaryota, Metazoa, Chordata, Mammalia, Primates, Hominidae.